CUGCUAUGCCCUGGUAUUGCUAUGUCGAUUAUUUUGACUUGUUUUUCUUUCUUCUCGACUACAGUUAUAUCUGGUGUAUUGUGUGGCAGAUGUUUGUCUGUUUGUAGUCGGAAGUCCCAUAAUAUUUUUACAUAUUCAUUUUCUUCAACUUUUUCAAUUUGAUGGUCACACCAAUUUUUGGCUACAGGUAGCUUGUAUUUUUUGCAGAUGUUCCAGUGUAUCAUCCCUGCUACUUUGUCAUGCCUUUGUUUGUAGUCAGUCUGUGCGAUCUUUUUACAACAGCUGAUUAGGUGGUCCAUGGUUUCAUCUGCUUCUUUACAAAGGCGGCACUUGCUGUUUGUGGUGGAUUUUUCAACUUUUGCUCUUAUUGCAUUUGUUCUUAGUGCCUGUUCUUGUGCAGCCAGUAUUAAACCCUCUGUUUCUUUCUUCAGGUUACCAUUCUUAAACCAUUGCCAGGUCUUGGUGAUGUCUGAUUUUCCACUUAUAUUGUGCAAAUAUUGACCAUGCAGUGGCUUGUUUUUCCAUUUUUCUGCUCGGUUCUUGACUUGUUCUUUCUUGUAGGCCUGCUUUCUUUCAUUGGUGUUGAAUAGUUUCUCAUUAUUGACCAUUUCAAGUGCAUCUUCUUCACUGUCCUUGAUGUAUUCUUCAAGGCCUCUUUUCUCCUCCUCUACUGUUUGAUGGACUUGCAGCAUUCCUCUUCCACCUGAGCUGCGAGAGAGGUAGAGCCUAUCGACAUCACUGAGGGGGUGCAGAGCAUGAUUGAUGGUCAUGAUUUUCCUGGUCUUACGAUCUAGCGUCUCUAGCUCUGCCUGGGUCCAGUCUAUUAUUCCUGCAGUGUAUCUGAUAACAGGUAUAGCCCAGGUGUAUUAUUAUUAUUAUUAUUAUUAUUAUUAUUAUUAUUAAUUUAUUAUUAUUAUUAUUAUUAAGAUUUCUAUACCGCCCUUCCAAAAAUUGCUCUGGGCGGUUUACACAGAGAAAUAAUAAAUUUGUGAAACCACAUUGAAGGAGUCAGUUUCUCCAGAUUUGUUUGAGAAAAGGUGUAAGGAUCUAGAUGCGAAUAUCUUACAGUUUCAGGAGAGACUCAAGGAAUUUAAAAAUCAGAAAUUUACAAGAGACAGUUAGGAUUAUGUAUCAGGCCAUGUUUAUGACUGGUUCACUGCUCCAGUUACCCCGCAUAAUACACCUAAAAUCAUGGCUAGAUGACAUUAGCACAUCAUACUUUGAGGGCAAAGAUAAGGAGGAAUUCUCCACUCUUUUUGGUGAUUAUAAUUAUAUUCAAGAGGAGAGACCAUGUUUGGAUAGAGCCUCUAGAGGAAAUUUAGGGCCCCCCAUUCUUUUCACAGGAGCAAGGGACCCAGAGACAGAUGAAAAGCAGCUUUGUUUGGAGAAUCACCGCCAUUGGUUCCUGAUUUAGUCACAUCCAUAUUGAGGUCCAUUUUCAGUGUAGAAGACCUUGUAGUUCAGGUGCUCCAGGUCUUAAUAUAGAAGAUUGGCUGCCCCAUUGGUAUUAUAUUUUGUGGAAGAAUUCCUCUUACCUUAGGUUUGAUUCCAAUGUAACUUUGAUCUUCCUGUGCUGUUCUAAGGUAUACACAUAGGAUUCUCCAUUUGAGAGUAUUUCACUUCAUGUAUGGGCCCAUUACAUGUAUUAUUUUUGGUAGGCGUGUUUUGUGAUUGUGUUUGGCUUAUAAUUAAAGGGUAUGAGGAUUAGUCCAGCUGGCUUCACAUUUCCACCCAUCAUGUUACUGACUGAUAUAUGUGGAGAGAAUUUUACUCCAUGGUUAAGUCCAUUAAGAGGGUCUAGCAUUUUUAGCAGGCACUUUGGUGCUGUGUUUAGUGAUAAGGCUUUUUCAUAUAUGUGGUAGGAUCUUCCUUUGGAGAGAACCUUACAGCAUUUAAGAGCCCAUGAGAUGCAUUCCUAUGGCUUUCUGGAAAUGGUUGUUUCUUUAAGAUCAGGGGGGGUAUGAAGAUGAGCCCAGCUGGCUAAUUAUUUUCACCCCACAUGUGAUUGAUUGAGUUUUGUAGAGAGUAUUUAACUCUAAGGUUUAGUUUGCUCAUGAAGGAUUAUAGCAUGUUUCUGCAGGCACUUUCGUGCUGCUCCUAUGACAAGGCUUUCCCACAAAUAAGACAUUAGGAACUUCUGAUGAAGAUGUAUGUGAAACAGACUAUCAUCUAGGGAGUCUGUCAAGUUUUUUAAGUUUCAAGUCUUCAUUCAAGCUUCAAGAUUCCAGUGCAAAGUUUCCAGAUUUUCCAAGGUCUACGCAGAGGGGAUUACCUCUUCAUGUUGGAGGAUGGACUUUCAGCAAACUGGCACCAGUAGCUUCACACCAGUUUGUUAACUUUACCAGUGUUUGUACUAUUGUUUUGGGAGUGCUUUUUUGCCAUUGGGGAGUUUGUAACAGUCUACAUUGUUGUAUUUUUUUGCUGCUGAUUUCUGGAUGCCUUCAGUUUGAGAUUAUAUGUAGUAUUUCUUCACUUUC
This is a long non-coding RNA of Hemicordylus capensis (graceful crag lizard), 2477 nucleotides long. RefSeq lists it as uncharacterized. The record is from RefSeq and is a predicted model, not a curated record. The transcript is spliced from 2 exons. NCBI's taxonomy places the organism in Eukaryota, Metazoa, Chordata, Lepidosauria, Squamata, Cordylidae.